Molecule: ribosomal RNA, 177 nt
Filed under: Salmonella enterica subsp. enterica serovar Cerro
Lineage: Bacteria; Pseudomonadati; Pseudomonadota; Gammaproteobacteria; Enterobacterales; Enterobacteriaceae
Description: partial 16S ribosomal RNA
Rfam family: Bacterial small subunit ribosomal RNA
Source: RNAcentral
CGGGAACCGUGAGACAGGUGCUGCAUGGCUGUCGUCAGCUCGUGUUGUGAAAUGUUGGGUUAAGUCCCGCAACGAGCGCAACCCUUAUCCUUUGUUGCCAGCGGUUAGGCCGGGAACUCAAAGGAGAAUCGAGGUUGACGGCGACCAGUGAAAAAUUGAUCGGGGCGCUUUGCUGCA